CGGGGUGUAGCGCAGCUUGGUAGCGCAUCUGCUUUGGGAGCAGAGGGCCGCUGGUUCGAAUCCAGUCACCCCGACCA
RNAcentral lists this transfer RNA (77 nucleotides) under Fannyhessea vaginae. RNAcentral describes it as "tRNA-Pro". It matches the Rfam family "tRNA". Rfam says of the family: Transfer RNA (tRNA) molecules are approximately 80 nucleotides in length. Their secondary structure includes four short double-helical elements and three loops (D, anti-codon, and T loops). RNAcentral also lists the same sequence under 1 other name. The record is from RNAcentral. Lineage: Bacteria; Bacillati; Actinomycetota; Coriobacteriia; Coriobacteriales; Atopobiaceae.